Molecule: transfer RNA, 75 nt
Filed under: Myoviridae sp. ctCo31
Lineage: Duplodnaviria; Heunggongvirae; Uroviricota; Caudoviricetes
Description: tRNA-Trp
Rfam family: tRNA
About the family: Transfer RNA (tRNA) molecules are approximately 80 nucleotides in length.
Source: RNAcentral
AAGUCUUUAGUAUAAUGGUAUUAUGCUGGUCUCCAAAACCAUGCGAUAAAGGUUCGAAUCCUUUAAGACUUGCCA